AAUCUUUUUUUUGCACAGCUCAUAUUUGCUAGUUUAGCUAAGUUAGUAAGGGAAGACCCUUCAAAACUGGCAGAUUUGAGCUCAGAUCUGAUAAAUGAAAGGAUGCCAGCCAUGAGCAGAGUUGGGGAAGAAAUUUCCAGGAAGAAGAAACAAGUCGGUAGGUAAAAUUUGAUACAUGCAAGGAAUGAUGAGAAAGCCAGUGGGGCUGGAGUGUGAUGCUGCGGAGAAUCGCAGGGGCUCACUCUUUCAAAUGUGAGGUCCAAGGAAAGAGAAGCAGAGUGCGGUCACCACGAGACAAUGGAGCAACGCCUGGGGUUCUGAGGGGAGUUCUCUCUGUCUAGAGUGAGGGCGCAGGGACUUCCCUGCGGGUCCAGUGGCUAAGAUUCCUCACUCCCGAUGCAGGGUCCUGGGUUCCAUUCCUGGUCAGGGAUCUAGAUCCCACAUGCCGCAACCAACGGUUUGCAAGCUGCAGCUAAAAAUCCUGCGUGCUGCAACUAAGACCCAAUACAGCCAAAUAAAAAAGAAAGAAAGGAGAAGGAAGGAAAAAUGACUAAGGGCACAAUGAAAAUAUUUCAGACUCAUGAGAAGUCAGGAAUGUUACCUAUAAAGCAAGUUUUCUUAGGCUCUUCAUACCGCAGUCUACGCCAAUGAGGCAAGGACAAGAAGAGGACAACAGGGGCCGACCCAGGAAGACCCCGUGGACCACACCACUGCGACGGCAGUGUGAUUUCCCUGGAGAACACUCUAUAGGCUCCAGCCGCUUUGGAAGAGGGACCCCAUUGUCCUGCAAGGGGACGGAGUGGACCACAGCUUGGAUUACAGAACCGGGACAGCCACUCUGCCUGGAAAGGGCAUUGAGUACAACACCGAUUCAGGGAACUUCAAGUCCACGUGGAUUCAAGAUGGUCCUUCAGCUUUUCUCUAUGCAAGAUGCUGUAAAGAUGGUCCCCACCUGUAGACAGCUUGUGGUCAAGCAGGGAGAUUGGCCAGUUCAUGUCAAAAAAGAGCUUGGAAUGCAGGUAGAAUUCCUGCUUUCUUCUCAAUGAAAUAUUGAACCUGAGGCUGCCCAUGGGAGGCCAGUUGUGGCUAGGAGGCACAGCGCUAAUCCUUUCACGUUUGUCACCAAAAUUUGCUCAACGUGGGAAACUUGCUUUUCUUACAAAUGAACACUGUUUUCUGUCAAAUUGAACACUGAGACUGUACGCCUCAAAGCAGUGUUGAUCCAACUUACUUUAAAAGCUAGGAGACAUAGGGGG
RNAcentral lists this long non-coding RNA (1256 nucleotides) under Ovis aries (sheep). RNAcentral describes it as "lncRNA (ENSOARG00000026351.1)". The record is from RNAcentral. Lineage: Eukaryota; Metazoa; Chordata; Mammalia; Artiodactyla; Bovidae.